CCAGUAGGUGGAAGCCCAAGGAGGAGGAAACCUGUUCACCUCCUGGCAGACAGGAAGUGAAGAGAGCAGGAGAGGAAGCUGGGCUCCGGUAUCCCUUUAAGGACACGCCCCCAGUGCCCUGACUUCCUCCAAGGAGGCCCCACCUCUUAAAGGUUCCACCACCUCCCUGCAGCACGGCAGGCUGGCCAUGAGGCUCUUAAUCUUGUGCCUUUAAGGUCCAUUCCAGAUCUGAACCCUGAGGUCGUCAUCAUCGUUUAGUGAGCUUUUCCUCCACUGGGAUCAAAAAGCAUGACAAGAACAACACAGAGAAAGAAAAGUUUAUUGGGGGUCACGGUUUCAGAGGUUCAGAGCAUGGUCAGCUGACUGCAGUGCCCUGGGCUGGAGAUGGAGCAGAACCCAGCCAGACUGCAAGGGAGCCCCAACUGUCUCGUCGCUUAAAGCGUGUUCUCUGGGACACUGGAGCUGGGGGGCCCCCAGGAGAUGUUGGGCUCAGGCUCCCGCUGCCCCUCAGCCGUCUGCAUCAGCUCAGCUGCCCAGCUGCCUGCCUUUGGACCCAGCAUCUUGUCUUGGCCGCGGACACUGGAGCGGAUCCAUGUCUAAGUGGGCAUUUUAUCUAGGCAGCCUCUCCCCUGUCCACUGCACGAGGCGUUCCCCUUUGAGACUGAGAAUAGAGGGCCCCAGCAAAGCAGCCUUUAUGUGAUCUAUGGCAAAAAGUCUCUCUCGUGAUCCUGCGCUAGAUGACCUUGAUUCUGAGCCUGGUUUGUUCUCCUGGCUUUUCAAGCUGCAUUCACAGGUUGGCCUCUUGUGUCACUCCUGGGACUUCCAGUCUCCUCCUCUGAUGGCAAAGCAUUCCGACAGAGAGCGAGGCCCUGUCCCCAGAUGAAUCGGUGGGGAACGUAAUACGGGUGAUUAAAACAUAAAUCACUUAAGCCUAA
Molecule: long non-coding RNA, 935 nt
Organism: Marmota monax (woodchuck)
Lineage: Eukaryota; Metazoa; Chordata; Mammalia; Rodentia; Sciuridae
Exons: 2
Source: RefSeq, a predicted model, not a curated record